ACCUUAUUAAGAGUGGUGGAGGGACUGGCCCUGUGAAACCCGGCAACCGCUGUUCCUCGGAACAGAAUGGUGCUAAUUCCUUAAGCAAGCAGAUGCUUGUUUGAAGAUAAGGC
Non-coding RNA from Bacillus pumilus SAFR-032, 113 nucleotides. NCBI's taxonomy places the organism in Bacteria, Bacillati, Bacillota, Bacilli, Caryophanales, Bacillaceae. The record is from Rfam.